RNAcentral lists this ribosomal RNA (467 nucleotides) under Kitasatospora aureofaciens. RNAcentral describes it as "bacterial SSU rRNA". It matches the Rfam family "Bacterial small subunit ribosomal RNA", at positions 116 to 599 of the family's 1533-position model. The record is from RNAcentral. Lineage: Bacteria; Bacillati; Actinomycetota; Actinomycetes; Kitasatosporales; Streptomycetaceae.
CGUGGGCAAUCUGCCCUGCACUCUGGGACAAGCCCUGGAAACGGGGUCUAAUACCGGAUAUGACCUUCCUCCGCAUGGGGGUUGGUGGAAAGCUCCGGCGGUGCAGGAUGAGCCCGCGGCCUAUCAGCUUGUUGGUGGGGUAAUGGCCUACCAAGGCGACGACGGGUAGCCGGCCUGAGAGGGCGACCGGCCACACUGGGACUGAGACACGGCCCAGACUCCUACGGGAGGCAGCAGUGGGGAAUAUUGCACAAUGGGCGAAAGCCUGAUGCAGCGACGCCGCGUGAGGGAUGACGGCCUUCGGGUUGUAAACCUCUUUCAGCAGGGAAGAAGCGCAAGUGACGGUACCUGCAGAAGAAGCACCGGCUAACUACGUGCCAGCAGCCGCGGUAAUACGUAGGGUGCGAGCGUUGUCCGGAAUUAUUGGGCGUAAAGCUCGUAGGCGGCCUGUCGCGUCGGAUGUGAAA